GCAGGUUGUGGACGUAUAUAGGCGACUCGCACUGUGUCUUUAAAGCCCUCUGCCGGGUGAUUGGAAGCCGUCUGCAUGUGCGCAGGAAUGACGCAAAAUUGACUUCAUCUCAAGAACGCGUCACGAUGUCAUUUCAACAUGGAAAAAAAGGAAGAGGGGGAAAAAGCUGGGGAACUAUGGAGAGAGGAUCUCUGCCUGAAUAAUAGGUCACUUUAUUUAAAAGAAUCAUGAAUCAAACAGGUCUUUGUCAUCUAUGGAUCAUCUCCAGGAGGCAGCGGGCCUCCACAACUGGGAGUGAAUGGAUGUCAAACAGAGAUGAACCAGUUUUGGAUAAACGUGUUCUACUGCAGAUGUGAACAGGAGUGAAUGACAGCGAGAAGAUGGCUGUGUGUCAAUUACCUGGAGAAGAGAUGGCAGCAGGACGCACUGAGGGAAGAGAUCAAGCCGGUGUAGGAAACGUGAUGCCCUGGACAAUGUUCUGUUGGACAACACUGGGUCCUGGAAUUCAUCAGGUGAACACUAUUUUGACACCACUUACCUAAACACUAUCGCAGACUAUUACAUUCCUUCUUUGCCGUUGUGUUCCCUGAUACCAGUGACCUCUUUCAGCAAGAUAAUGCUUCCUACUAUGCAUCAAAAACUGUUCAGAAAUGGUUUGAAGAGUAGAGUUCAAGGUGUUGACUUGGUGUCCACAUUCUUCUUAUCUGAAACGGAUUGAGCAUCUGUUGGAUGUGCUAGAAAAACCAACCGUAGAGGUCUCACCUUGCAGUUUACAGGACUUGAAGGACCUGUUGCUAACAUCUUGGUGUUAAAACCGCAGGACACGCCUCAUUAAAAGACAUAAUUUGAGUGGUCAGAGCUGUUUUGGUAUCACAAGGUGGAUUUUUUUAGGUGGUUUUAAUGUUCUGGCUGAUGAGUGGUCUAAGAAAAGUAAGAGAUCAGGUCACCAACAGAUGUCAGUGUUGGUCUGAUGAAAUUUUACUGACCUCUCCUGAACAUUAUGUUUCUUUCAGUAUAUCUCUCUAAGACAAAUCUCCCAAUAAGCACCCAAGAAGCACAUGCUUAGGUAUAAGUUUAGUUAUUCAUAUUCUUUCUAUUCAGGAAGCCACAAUGAUUUUACAAAGCCUCCGUCUCUCUUCUCAUGCUUCUUGGAGAUAAAGAUUUAAUAAAUAGAGGCUAUUGACUUCAUGCUUUCAUCUGUUUUAAACAACCUCGUCUUUGCUGGUUCACAUCUAUUCUCAGUAAUAUUGUACGUUUCACUAUGAACAAUGUACGGAUACGUUUCUCAAAACCUCUGCACCAUCUGCAGUCACUUUCACUUCUAUAUAUAUUUAACACUUCACAUUGCAGGUGCGCACCAAGGUCCUAUUUGGAAGCAACAUACACUGACUCUUUAUAGGAAAUGUGAAUUGCUUAAAUUUGCUGUCUUGAUGAAAAGUUUAUUUCACUGGAAUUUCCUGUAGUGACUGUGUGGGUUGAGAUUGCAGCUCCUAACUGCCAUGGGAAGAGCAGAUAUGGCUGUGAUAUGAAAUGAUUUAGUGCUACAAUCUAAACCACUGCUGGUUGGCUGCAGCACAGGUCACCACACACUCUGGGUGUGUAAUCUAUCUCUGGUGAACCUCACACAGGAUAUGCCAACACACACUUUAAACCCGCUGAAUGCCUUCCUUUCUCAAAAUCUGCUUUAUACUUUGCAAUCUGAGUCACAGGGGAGGGUUGUGGUGAUUUGUGUUUGUGAUUUUCACAGCAAUGUCAAGUAUUUAUCACUGUGUUGGAGUACCAUGCUCGAGCAGAACAUGGAAGCCUUCCUGUUGUUACUACAAUAUAUGGCACUUGACUGUGUGACAGUCAAGAAAGGCCACUGGAAUUCUGCAUGUCCACCCUUCAGAGAUUUGUAGACUAGUUUAUGCUAGCAGGGAACAUUAUCUUGGCCAGAGUCAGGGUACACAGGAUUCUCACAUGAUGAACAUUUUCUUAAUACCAGGUCUGCUUCUCAACCAAAGAGCCCUGGAGCUCAAGGCUUAGAAUUUAAACAAGGGAAGAAGGCCAAAGAAUCAGGAGGAAGGCAAAGUAAACAGGAAUCAUCAUUUAUUUAGAUAUUUACUAAAUGUGUGCUCAGUGUUAAUCUCUGAGCACACAUUUCUUUCCUGAAAAAAACAUAUGCAAAGUUGAUUUUCUUCGCACUUGUAACUGCCCUUUGUUCACAUCUGUGUUUCACUGGAUUUCUGUCUGACUUUGCUGGUGCACUUUUGCUGUGUUUGUUGGCAUAUUACUGCCACCAACUGUCGAUCAGUGCAAUAGCAUGAAGCCAUCUGUGUGACUUGUAGCUACCACAUGCAUGGGCAUCAUUGUUGGUAUGCAUACUACAAGCACUUUUAAAAAAAUGCUUGGAGACUUUCCUUUUUAUGGAGGCUUUAAACUUACCUACAGGAUUCCUUUUUAAAAUUGUUUCUUUUUACUGUGUGUUUGUAGCACUUUGCGAUUUCUUUAAAUGACAAGUGCUUUGUACAUUAAAUGUAUUAUUUUUAUUACAAGCGAAAAGGCUAACGGUUCUGUCUGUAUCAUGCACACUGCUCCAUAGCGAUGCUAAUGGUCAUAAAUUCCACAGGGGACCUUUGUCUUGUAAAUUGUGGUGUCAGAAAGCAGUUGGAGGACUGUAACAGGUAAUCAGUUGUGGUAAAUCUUAGAAUUAAUCGAGAUUAGAAGUAAAAUUAAUUAAUGAAGAUGCCCCCUACACACAACCCAUUGAGUUAUUGUUUGUCGGCUGAUUUUAUAGCGUGUCAUAUCGGUAUGAGGAACUCUACCUUUUGCGAAAUAUCAAACACAUAUACAGCUCUGAAAUAUAUCACACAAUCUCUACUGACUAAUUUUCCUCUUAC
This is a long non-coding RNA of Acanthochromis polyacanthus (spiny chromis), 2879 nucleotides long. RefSeq lists it as uncharacterized. Lineage: Eukaryota; Metazoa; Chordata; Actinopteri; Pomacentridae. The transcript has 4 exons. The record is from RefSeq and is a predicted model, not a curated record.